This 512-nucleotide small RNA is filed under the name Pongo abelii (Sumatran orangutan). RNAcentral describes it as "retained intron". Lineage: Eukaryota; Metazoa; Chordata; Mammalia; Primates; Hominidae. The record is from RNAcentral.
AUUCCAUCCUAGGUGAUGGAGGGAGACUCUGUCUCAAAAACAAAAUAAAAUAUUUUUGUAGAGACAAGGUCUUGAACUCUGCCUGAAGCCAUCCUCCUGCCUUAGCCUCCCAAAGUGCUGUGAUUAUAGGAGUGAGCUGCUGUAUCUGGCCUGAGGAUGCUAAUUUUUAAUUUGAUUGGAAAUUUGGGAUUUAGUUCAGGUUUUUUUCUCUCUUAAGUAUCUUAAUGUUUAAUCGUUAAUUACCUACUUUUUUGUCCCCUCUGAAAUACCUAAUUUAGGCCAUGGCCCAAAAGGAAGACAUGGAAGAGAGAAUCACUACUCUUGAAAAACGCUACCUCGCUGCACAGCGUGAAGCCACAUCUGUGCAUGACCUCAAUGACAAACUUGAAAAUGAAAUUGCAAAUAAAGAUUCUAUGCAUCGACAGACUGAAGAUAAAAACCGCCAGUUACAGGAGCGCUUGGAAUUGGCAGAGCAAAAGCUGCAACAGACACUGAGGAAGGCAGAGACGCUC